CCUACGGGAGGCAGCAGUGAGGAAUAUUGGUCAAUGGGCGUAAGCCUGAACCAGCCAAGUCGCGUGAGGGAUGAAGGUUCUAUGGAUCGUAAACCUCUUUUAUAAGGGAAUAAAGUGUGGGACGUGUCCUGUUUUGUAUGUACCUUAUGAAUAAGGAUCGGCUAACUCCGUGCCAGCAGCGGCGGUAAUACGGAGGAGCCGAGCGUUAUCCGGAUUUAUUGGGUUUAAAGGGUGCGUAGGCGGCCUUUUAAGUCAGCGGUGAAAGUCUGUGGCUCAACCAUCGAAUUGCCGUUGAAACUGGGAGGCUUGAGUAUGUUUGAGGCAGGCGGAAUGCGUGGUGUAGCGGUGAAAUGCGUAGAUAUCACGCAGAACCCCGAUUGCGAAGGCAGCCUGCCAAGCCAUGACUGACGCUGAUGCACGAAAGCGUGGGGAUCAAACAGGAUUAGAUACCCUAGUAGUC
This 460-nucleotide ribosomal RNA is filed under the name uncultured bacterium. RNAcentral describes it as "partial 16S ribosomal RNA". It matches the Rfam family "Bacterial small subunit ribosomal RNA", at positions 338 to 795 of the family's 1533-position model. The record is from RNAcentral.